GUGCCAGCCGCCGCGGUAAGACAGAGGGUGCAAACGUUGUUCGGAAUCACUGGGCGUAAAGCGCGUGUAGGCGGCCAGACAAGUCGGGUGUGAAAGCCCACGGCUCAACCGUGGAAGGGCACUCGAAACUGCUUGGCUAGAGUCCUGGAGAGGAAGGUGGAAUACUCGGUGUAGAGGUGAAAUUCGUAGAUAUCGAGUGGAACACCGGUGGCGAAGGCGGCCUUCUGGACAGUGACUGACGCUGAGACGCGAAAGCGUGGGGAGCAAACAGGAUUAGAAACCCUCGUAGUCC
Molecule: ribosomal RNA, 292 nt
Filed under: uncultured bacterium
Lineage: Bacteria
Description: partial 16S ribosomal RNA
Rfam family: Bacterial small subunit ribosomal RNA
Source: RNAcentral